GUAUUGUAUGAAAAGACAGAAGCUUAGCACUCCUCUUGACAAGGAUGGAUGAGGCCCUCGGACCUUACAACAAGCAUACAGUUAAGGCAUUGCCACCUACUUUGUGGCACCUAACCACAGGUUUUG
Loxodonta africana (African savanna elephant) is the source of this 126-nucleotide small nuclear RNA. The record is from Ensembl. NCBI's taxonomy places the organism in Eukaryota, Metazoa, Chordata, Mammalia, Proboscidea, Elephantidae.